UACCAGCUCUCCGAGUGGUAGGGAUGAUUAUUGGGCUUAAAGCGUCCGUAGCCGGCUUAGCAAGUCUCCUGUUAAAUUCAGCGACCUAAUCGUUGAGCCGCGGGAGAUACUACUAGGCUAGGAGGCGGGAGAGGUCAACGGUACUUCCGGGGUAGGGGUGAAAUCCUAUAAUCCCGGGAGGACCACCAGUGGCGAAGGCUGUUGACUAGAACGCGCUCGACGGUGAGGGACGAAAGCUGGGGGAGCGAACCGGAUUAGAUACCCGGGUAGUCCCAGCUGUAAACUAUGCGGGCUAGGUGUUGGGGUGGCUACGGGCCACUUCAGUGCCGCAGGAAAGCCAUUAAGCCCGCCGCCUGGGGAGUACGGCCGCAAGGCUGAAACUUAAGGAAUUGGCGGGGGAGCACCACAAGGGGUGAAGCUUGCGGUUC
This 428-nucleotide ribosomal RNA is filed under the name uncultured archaeon. RNAcentral describes it as "bacterial SSU rRNA". It matches the Rfam family "Archaeal small subunit ribosomal RNA", at positions 474 to 903 of the family's 1478-position model. The record is from RNAcentral.